GAUGAACGCUGGCGGCGUGCCUAAUACAUGCAAGUCGAGCGAACAGACGAGGAGCUUGCUCCUCUGACGUUAGCGGCGGACGGGUGAGUAACACGUGGAUAACCUACCUAUAAGACUGGGAUAACUUCGGGAAACCGGAGCUAAUACCGGAUAAUAUAUUGAACCGCAUGGUUCAAUAGUGAAAGACGGUUUUGCUGUCACUUAUAGAUGGAUCCGCGCCGCAUUAGCUAGUUGGUAAGGUAACGGCUUACCAAGGCAACGAUGCGUAGCCGACCUGAGAGGGUGAUCGCCCACCCGGGAACUGAGACACGGUCCAGACUCCUACGGGAGGCAGCAGUAGGGAAUCUUCCGCAAUGGGCGAAAGCCUGACGGAGCAACGCCGCGUGAGUGAUGAAGGUCUUCGGAUCGUAAAACUCUGUUAUUAGGGAAGAACAAAUGUGUAAGUAACUAUGCACGUCUUGACGGUACCUAAUCAGAAAGCCACGGCUAACUACGUG
RNAcentral lists this ribosomal RNA (497 nucleotides) under uncultured bacterium. RNAcentral's name for it is "partial 16S ribosomal RNA". It matches the Rfam family "Bacterial small subunit ribosomal RNA", at positions 28 to 507 of the family's 1533-position model. The record is from RNAcentral.